This 442-nucleotide ribosomal RNA is filed under the name uncultured bacterium. RNAcentral's name for it is "partial 16S ribosomal RNA". It matches the Rfam family "Bacterial small subunit ribosomal RNA", at positions 338 to 795 of the family's 1533-position model. The record is from RNAcentral.
CCUACGGGAGGCAGCAGUGGGGAAUAUUGGGCAAUGGGCGCAAGCCUGACCCAGCAAAGCCGCGUGAAGGAAGAAGGCUUUCGGGUUGUAAACUUCUUUUAAGCGGGAAGAGUAGAAGACGGUACCUCUUGAAUAAGCCACGUCGAAAUAAGUGCCAGCAGCCGCGUUAAUACGUAGGUGGCAAGCGUUGUCCGGAUUUCGUGGGUGUAAAGGGCGUGUAGCGGGGCCGGGAAGUCAGAUGUGAAAUCCCAAGGCUCAACCGUGGCACUGCAUUUGAAACUGUUGGUCUUGUGUAUCGGAGAGGCAGGCGGAAUUCCUAGUGUAGCGGUGAAAUGCGUAGAUAUUAGGAGGAACACCAGUGGCGAAGGCGGCCUGCUGGACGACAACUGACGGUGAGGCGCGAAAGCGUGGGUAUCAAACAGGAUUAGAUACCCCUGUAGUC